Molecule: long non-coding RNA, 491 nt
Organism: Juglans microcarpa x Juglans regia
Lineage: Eukaryota; Viridiplantae; Streptophyta; Magnoliopsida; Fagales; Juglandaceae
Exons: 2
Source: RefSeq, a predicted model, not a curated record
UCAGCCUUUCGAAAUGAGCAGUUUUUUUUUUUUUUUUUUUGCAAACCAAGAUUGUUUGAAUUGAUUGGGAUUUUCGGGCUAUGCACAACUAUCAGCCUUGCUUUGUUUUUAGUUUACCCUGAAUUCGGUUCGGAAUGAGCAAUUUUGAUCAACAAAGGAUUUUGGAUGCAUAGUACACGGAAAAUUGGGGGGAAAUCCGCGCCCAAUGAUUGGUUCAGUCUUUUCUUGUUCCAUUUUAGUCAGUCUACAGCGAUGCAUAGUUUUUAGUUCUUUAGUUGAAAAAAAUAUUGUGAGUUUUUUUCUUUCUUUGUUUUGUUUUGCUUUUAGUUUUUGUGACAUAGGUAGCUCAAAUUGGCUGCAACCUUGCACCUACCGCGAGUGCAAUUCUAGCUUACCAUAUGUUUGAAAUGAGCUAAUUAAUUCAACUAGGGCUGUCGCGCAGAUUGUAACGUAGCUUAUUGCCUGAGAAAGGAACAAAUCGGAUGAACUAG